AUAGAUCAUUACUGUGGCAUGAAAAGCCCUCCAUUAAUUAGAUCAACAGGGAGAUUCAUGUGGAUUAAGUUUAGUUCUGACGAAGAGCUUGAAGGACUGGGAUUUCGAGCAAAAUACUCAUUUAUUCCAGAUCCAGACUUUACUUAUCUAGGAGGUAUUUUAAAUCCCAUUCCAGAUUGCCAGUUUGAGCUCUCAGGAGCUGAUGGAAUAGUACGUUCUAGUCAGGUAGAACAAGAAGAGAAAACGAAACCCAGCCAAGCAGUUGAUUGCAACUGGACAAUCAGAGCCACCUCACGAGCUAAGAUUUAUUUGAGGUUCCUAGAUUAUCAAAUGGAGCACUCAAAUGAAUGCAAGAGAAACUUCAUCGCAGUCUAUGAUGGGAGCAGCUCUAUCGAAAACCUGAAGGCCAAGUUCUGCAGCACUGUGGGCAACGAUGUGAUGCUGAAGACGGGAAUUGGCGUGAUACGAAUGUGGGCAGAUGAAGGUAGUCGGCUCAGCAGGUUCAGAAUGCUCUUUACAUCCUUUGUGGAGCCUCCCUGCACUGGCAGCACUUUCUUCUGCCACAGCAACAUGUGCAUCAAUGACUCCUUAGUCUGCAAAGGAGUCCAGAACUGCGCCUACCCUUGGGAUGAGAAUCACUGCAAAGAAAAGAAAAAAUCAGGACUGUUUGAACAAAUCAUUAAAACUAAUGGAACAAUUAUUGGCAUUACAUCAGGGAUUGUCUUGGGCCUUCUCAUUAUUUCUAUUUUAGUACAAGUGAAACAGCCUUGAAAAAAGGUCAUGGCUUGCAAAACUGCCUUUAGUAAGACUGGGUUCCAGGAAGUGUUUGAUCCUCCUCAUUAUGAACUGUUUUCACUGAGGGACAAAGAGAUGUCUGCAGACCUGGCAGACCUGGCUGAAGAGCUGGACGGCUACCAGAAGGUGCAGCGCCCCUCCUCAGCCUCCCGGUAUGUUCACAACCACCACUGUGGGUCGCAGGCGCCCAGCGUCAGACAGAGCAGGACCAACCUCAGUGCCAUGGAGCUUCCCUUCCGGAAUGACUUUGCACAACCACAGCCAAUGAGACCGUUUAAUAGCACUUUCAAGAAAAGUAGCUACACCUUCAAACAGGCCCAUGAGUGCCCUGACCAGGCCCUAGAAGACAGAGUAAUGGAGGAGAUUCCCUGUGAGAUUUAUGUCAGGGGCCGAGAAGAUUCUGCACAAGCAUCCAUAUCUAUCGACUUCUGACUUCUGCUGACAGUGACAUUAACUGCUGCGUGUGCGUGUCCCACCUGCAGAGCGCCCGCCCUCCAGCAGCCAGCCCCUGCCUGUCAGACCUUUGUUUGCCACUAACUUGCUGUGAUGUUGAGGUUCUCACCUCUCAGGCAGCCAGGGAACUUACUGUAUUCAGUAGAAAACAUGAGUCAUCUGUUGCCUGGCCUCAUACAAGAAAGCAGCACCAGUGAAAAGCGUCGAGGAGGGAGUGGCUGUGCUGAGCACUCACAGUACAGGCAUCAGGAAUUCCGCUCUUGCCUGCUCCAGCUCUGUCAAUAUUUUGAUCCUACUAGUAAACUUAAAAAUGAGGUUUUCCUUUAUUUUUCU
RNA transcript from Otolemur garnettii (small-eared galago), 1581 nucleotides. It is a transcript of the gene named neuropilin and tolloid-like protein 2 pseudogene, with no coding region annotated. Lineage: Eukaryota; Metazoa; Chordata; Mammalia; Primates; Galagidae. The record is from RefSeq and is a predicted model, not a curated record. The transcript has a single exon.